Molecule: ribosomal RNA, 253 nt
Filed under: uncultured bacterium
Lineage: Bacteria
Description: partial 16S ribosomal RNA
Rfam family: Bacterial small subunit ribosomal RNA
Source: RNAcentral
UACGUAGGGUGCGAGCGUUGUCCGGAAUUAUUGGGCGUAAAGGGCUCGUAGGCGGUCUGUCACGUCGGGAGUGAAAACUCGGGGCUUAACCCCGAGCCUGCUUCCGAUACGGGCAGACUAGAGGUAUGCAGGGGAGAACGGAAUUCCUGGUGUAGCGGUGAAAUGCGCAGAUAUCAGGAGGAACACCGGUGGCGAAGGCGGUUCUCUGGGCAUUACCUGACGCUGAGGAGCGAAAGCGUGGGGAGCGAACAGG